Molecule: long non-coding RNA, 1920 nt
Filed under: Gadus morhua (Atlantic cod)
Lineage: Eukaryota; Metazoa; Chordata; Actinopteri; Gadiformes; Gadidae
Description: lncRNA (ENSGMOG00000032426.1)
Source: RNAcentral
GACCUCUGCAGUUGUUGAUUUGUGUCUCUUGUAGGAGAAAAGUUGGUGAUUGGCUUCACUACUCGAGUUACACUCAACAGGCUCCUUGAAGCAGGAGCCAUUACACCGCAGCAAGUGCAGAGGUUCCAGAAGGCAGCAGUGGCGUUUCUGGAAAGGGCUGUGGAGUAUGCCAUCAAGAAACUCCCCAUGAAAGAGCCUCUGAUUAAACAUGCCAUGUUUCUGGAUGUCCAGCAGAGAGCAGAGUGUGGAGUGGAAGAUGCCUUCUACUUUGUCGACAGGUAAGUUGGGCUAUCAAGUAAAGUACAUUUUAUCUAUAGUGCCAAAUCCUAACACAAGUUAUCUCAAUAUGCUUUGCAAGUAGAGCAGGCUUAAGACCAGGCACAUUUUCUUGUUUGAUCCACAUCUGAAAAACAACCCCUGUUUCAGUUACACUACUUUACCAGAUCACUGCACAUUUUUUUUCUUUUUAGAUUUCCUGAACUUCUCCCAUACAAUGGACCUGAAGAGCGUGACAAACUUUGUGAGGAGUUUCUGGACUACCAGACCAUGGACAUUGCCAUGCCCGACGACCCAGCAAUGUUUGACUUUGAGAGAUUUUGGGGGAACAUGGCAUCAAUGAAGAACAAGGUGACCGGUAUGAGCAGAUUUGGCAGGCUGUCUUGUAUUGCCAAGUUGGUCUUGGUCAUGCCUCACUCCAAUGCUGAUGCAGAGCGAGUUUUCUCUGUGGUUGGACUAAAUAAGACCAAGACCCGAAACAGUUUGGCUCUUGAGGGAACUCUGUCAUCCAUCAUGACCGUGAAGAUGGCGAGCCUUGAGCCAGACUGUUUUAAGUGGGAGCCCCCUGCCUCUGUCAUCAAGGCAUCAAAAUCUGCCACCAACACCUACAACGUUAGACAUGCUAAAUGAUUGACAAAUAAAUGUAUUUUGUCAAAAUUCUUGUCUUGUUAAUUUCUGGUUAAGAGAGGUUAGGAGGCCACAGUGCAGAGAGCAGCUGGCAUGGAGGUGAGGACAUCAGUCCUAAGGUAUAAAUCAAUGUUAAAAAAGGCCAAUUUUUUUGGUCGGCGGCCGAACGCUUCUGACUCUAAAGUCUCACUCUUGUCAUUUUCUGAAACUUGGCAGCCCUGCUGUAACGUUACCUUACUUAUAUUGCCUAUUACUUUAAUGAAAAUAGUUUUAAGGGCCCUUGUAUUUUUAACAUUUGUAUCGUUAAAUACUCGAGUGACUAGAAACCCAAUACUUACAUUUAAAUGCAGAACUUAAAUCGCCAUUCUCCGCCAUCUCCAUUGAUUGAAUGCGCAAUGAAUCUUGGGAGGGAUACGUUGGGCCGUGAAGGAUCUUGGGAUACGUUGGGCCGCGAAGGAUACAGCCGAUGCAUCCUUAAAAUCCGGGAAAAGAAGGCUGCAUUCGUAGGCCGCAUUUGAAGGACCCUUGGAAUUGGGACAGCACUUGGCGCGUCGCUGUGACGCAAUCGGCGUCGACGCAUCCUUCGAAUGCAGCCUUCGAAGGAUGCGUCCCCUGAAUUGGGACACAGCCAUUCUCUGAUGGAAUGCACGCAUUGCAUGGUUCUCAGCUGAGUCAGUCAGACUCAGUGCUACCGGAAACUCGACUGAACUGGUUCAGUCGAGUUUCCGGUGAAUUGAAUGGUGAAUCGAAUCAUGGUCAUGGAAUGUGUUUGUGCACGGUUCUGCUGACUCUGAGUCAAUCAGACUCAGACUCUCAAAGGAUCGUGGAACUUAAGUCGGUCAUCAGCUGCUGACUUUAUCCUGAAAGGUGAGUCAAUAUCGUUAAUUGUAUAUAUUAAAAAAAUACCCGAGAUAAACGAACAAUGUGUAACCCUAACCCUAAAAUGUAAACACCAGGCUACUCGACAAGAAAAUGUAACGAACCACCUGAGGCUUUACUUUACCUCAGAGAUAAUGC